ACGGACAUCGGUCAUGCCGUGCGCACUCUUCUGCAGGGCAUACUUACAAAUGAAGCUGCACUGCAGUUCAGCUGGAAAGGGUCGCAGGGGAGGAAGCACGCCUUCGUGAAGCUCCCGGCCAUCACGAAUCUCAUUCUAACAUCUGUGAGGAGCACCUUCCCAGACGCUUCACUGGCUUCAGUGGCUGGAGUCACGAAACGCUGGUUAGUCGGAGCAGCUGACAGGGAUGGAGGCCGGAACGAGAGAAGGCGUCGUGACCCCGCUUCAAGCCCACGAUGAACUAGCAUUUGAAACUUUUGUGAACGUGUGGGUGUAUACAUAUCCAAGACAAAUACAAGAAAUAAAGACCUGUAUAAGA
Molecule: long non-coding RNA, 358 nt
Filed under: Dermacentor andersoni
Lineage: Eukaryota; Metazoa; Arthropoda; Arachnida; Ixodida; Ixodidae
Description: uncharacterized LOC126536719
Source: RNAcentral